This 253-nucleotide ribosomal RNA is filed under the name uncultured bacterium. RNAcentral describes it as "partial 16S ribosomal RNA". It matches the Rfam family "Bacterial small subunit ribosomal RNA", at positions 524 to 776 of the family's 1533-position model. The record is from RNAcentral.
UACAGAGGUCUCAAGCGUUGUUCGGAAUCACUGGGCGUAAAGCGUGCGUAGGCUGUUUCGUAAGUCGUGUGUGAAAGGCGCGGGCUCAACCCGCGGACGGCACAUGAUACUGCGAGACUAGAGUAAUGGAGGGGGAACCGGAAUUCCAUGUGUAGCGGUGAAAUGCGUAGAUAUAUGGAGGAACACCGGUGGCGAAAGCGGCUCUCUGGCCUGUAACUGACACUGAGGCUCGAAAGCGUGGGGAGCAAACAGG